CGCAUGUCUUCAGGGCGGGGCCCACGGCCUAUCAGCUAGUUGGUGUGGUAACGGCGCACCAAGGCGAAGACGGGUAGCUGGUCUGAGAGGAUGGCCAGCCACACGGGGAUUGAGACACGGCCCCGACUCUUACGGGAGGCAGCAGUGGGGAAUAUUGGGCAAUGGGCGCAAGCCUGACCCAGCGACGCCGCGUGGGUGAUGAAGGCCUUCGGGUCGUAAAGCCCUGUCGGGUGGAAAGAACGGUCGUGCGGCGAAUAGGCGUGCGACGUGACGGUACCACCGAAGGAAGCACCGGCCAAUUCCGUGCCAGCAGCCGCGGUAAGACGGAAGGUGCAAGCGUUGCUCGGAAUCACUGGGCGUAAAGGGUGCGUAGGCGGCUUGGUAAGUCGGGUGUGAAAGCCCCGGGCUCAGCCUGGGAAGGGCACUCGAAACUGUCGAGCUGGAGUGCCGGAGGGGAGAGUGGAAUUCCUGGUGUAGCGGUGAAAUGCGUAGAUAUCAGGAGGAAUACCGGUGGCGAAAGCGAU
RNAcentral lists this ribosomal RNA (524 nucleotides) under uncultured bacterium. RNAcentral describes it as "bacterial SSU rRNA". It matches the Rfam family "Bacterial small subunit ribosomal RNA", at positions 210 to 725 of the family's 1533-position model. The record is from RNAcentral.